UGGGGAAUAUUGCACAAUGGGCGCAAGCCUGAUGCAGCAACGCCGCGUGAAGGAAGACGGUUUUCGGAUUGUAAACUUCUGUUCUUAGUGAAGAAUAAUGACGGUAGCUAAGGAGCAAGCCACGGCUAACUACGUGCCAGCAGCCGCGGUAAUACGUAGGUGGCAAGCGUUGUCCGGAAUUACUGGGUGUAAAGGGAGCGCAGGCGGGUGAUCAAGUCAGCUGUGAAAACUACGGGCUUAACCCGUAGACUGCAGUUGAAACUGUUCAUCUUGAGCGAAGUAGAGGUUGGCGGAAUUCCGAGUGUAGCGGUGAAAUGCGUAGAUAUUCGGAGGAACACCGGUGGCGAAGGCGGCCAACUGGGCUUUAACUGACGCUGAGGCUCGAAAGUGUGGGGAGCAA
Molecule: ribosomal RNA, 400 nt
Filed under: uncultured bacterium
Lineage: Bacteria
Description: bacterial SSU rRNA
Rfam family: Bacterial small subunit ribosomal RNA
Source: RNAcentral